This 621-nucleotide ribosomal RNA is filed under the name uncultured cyanobacterium. RNAcentral's name for it is "bacterial SSU rRNA". It matches the Rfam family "Bacterial small subunit ribosomal RNA", at positions 28 to 692 of the family's 1533-position model. The record is from RNAcentral. Lineage: Bacteria; Bacillati; Cyanobacteriota.
GAUGAACCGCUGGCGGUCUGCUUAACACAUGCAAGUCGAACGAACUCUUCGGAGUGAGUGGCGGACGGGUGAGUAACGCGUGAGAAUCUGCCUGUGGGUCGGGGACAACCACUGGAAACGGUGGCUAAUACCGGAUGAGCCGAAAGGUAAAAAAUUUAUUGCCCACAGAUGAGCUCGCGUCUGAUUAGCUAGUUGGUAAGGUAAAAGCGUACCAAGGCGACGAUCAGUAGCUGGUCUGAGAGGAUGAGCAGCCACACUGGGACUGAGACACGGCCCAGACUCCUACGGGAGGCAGCAGUGGGGAAUUUUCCGCAAUGGGCGAAAGCCUGACGGAGCAAGACCGCGUGGGGGAGGAAGGUUUUUGGAUCGUAAACCCCUUUUGUCAAGGAAGAAGUUCUGACGGUACUUGACGAAUAAGCCUCGGCUAACUCCGUGCCAGCAGCCGCGGUAAUACGGAGGAGGCAAGCGUUAUCCGGAAUGAUUGGGCGUAAAGCGUCUGUAGGUGGCCAGCUAAGUCUGCUGUUAAAGAUCACAGCUCAACUGUGGGAAGGCAGUGGAAACUGGCAAGCUAGAGGCUGGUAGGGGUAAAGGGAAUUCCCGGUGUAGCGGUGAAAUGCCGUA